AUUACCACACCAAAAAAACUAUCCACGUGAACGUAUACUUAUAUUGGGUUUGUGUUGCUCCUUCGGGAGUGACUAACCGAAGGUUUCGAAAGGAACCGAUGAACUUUUAAUCCCUUUUACUUAAUGUCUGAACCAAUUUGGCAUACAGAAAUGUGUGCUUACAAUUGACAUACAACUUUCAACAGUGGAUGUCUAGGCUCGCACAUCGAUGAAGAACGCUGCGAACUGCGAUACGUAAUGCGAAUUGCAGAAUUCAGUGAGUCAUCAAAAUUUUGAACGCAUAUUGCACUUCCGGGUUAGUCCUGGGAGUAUGCUUGUAUCAGUGUCCGUUAAUACUAAAUUGUUUCAUGUAUUUGAAGCAGAAUGUGAAGUGUCUUGUUUCGACAAGUCCUUUUAAAUGAGUAUUACCUGUGCACCCUUGUGGUUUGUACAAUAUAAAGGUAUUUACAAUUUCGACUUUGGCCGUCCGGUGCUAAGAUGCCCGGCUUGGAAGGAGGAAUGGAUCGCGGUAGUUUUGCUUGUGCUUCGGUGCAGGUGAAUCGUAUUAUUGCUUUUUGUUCUUUUGGAAGGGCCCCGUGUCUGAUCGCUGGAUUCAAUUUCAAGUUGUAUGUACUGGUACAUUCCUUGGUGUAUGGAGGCAAAUUGGGAAACAAAUCCAAUUUGGACCUGAUAUCAAGCAAGACUACCCC
This 689-nucleotide ribosomal RNA is filed under the name Saprolegniaceae sp. MA-2015. RNAcentral's name for it is "eukaryotic LSU rRNA". The stretch from base 174 to 328 matches the Rfam family "5.8S ribosomal RNA". The record is from RNAcentral. Lineage: Eukaryota; Oomycota; Saprolegniomycetes; Saprolegniales; Saprolegniaceae.